UCCGGCCACAUCACGUUGAAACACCUGUUACUGUACGAUCACCGAAGUUAAGCAUCGUCGAGCCUAAUCAGUAACUAGAUGAGUGACCGCUUGGAAAUACCAGGUACUGUAG
Molecule: non-coding RNA, 112 nt
Organism: Acanthosepion pharaonis
Lineage: Eukaryota; Metazoa; Mollusca; Cephalopoda; Sepiida; Sepiidae
Source: the annotation of a GenBank genome assembly